This 254-nucleotide ribosomal RNA is filed under the name uncultured bacterium. RNAcentral's name for it is "partial 16S ribosomal RNA". It matches the Rfam family "Bacterial small subunit ribosomal RNA", at positions 524 to 776 of the family's 1533-position model. The record is from RNAcentral.
UACGAAGGGGGGCUAGCGUUGCUCGGAAUCACUGGGCGUAAAGGGUGCGUAGGCGGGUCUUUAAGUCAGGGGUGAAAUCCUGGAGCUCAACUCCAGAACUGCCUUUGAUACUGAGGAUCUUGAGUGUGGGAGAGGUUAGCGGAACUCCGAGUGUAGAGGUGAAAUUCGUAGAUAUUCGGAAGAACACCAGUGGCGAAGGCGGCUAACUGGCCCAUUACUGACGCUGAGGCUCGAAAGCGUGGGGAGCAAACAGG